GACGAACGCUGGCGGCGUGCUUAACACAUGCCAGUCGAACGGAAAGGCCCUGCUUUUGUGGGGUGCUCGAGUGGCGAACGGGUGAGUCACACGUGAGUAACCUGCCCUUGACUUUGGGAUAACUUCAGGAAACUGGGGCUAAUACCGGAUAGGAGCUCCUGCUGCAUGGUGGGGGUUGGAAAGUUUCGGCGGUUGGGGAUGGACUCGCGGCUUAUCAGCUUGUUGGUGGGGUAGUGGCUUACCAAGGCUUUGACGGGUAGCCGGCCUGAGAGGGUGACCGGCCACAUUGGGACUGAGAGACGGCCCAGACUCCUACGGGAGGCAGCAGUGGGGAAUAUUGCACAAUGGGCGGAAGCCUGAUGCAGCAACGCCGCGUGCGGGAUGACGGCCUUCGGGGUGUAAACCGCUUUCGCCUGUGACGAAGCGUGAGUGACGGUAAUGGGUAAAGAAGCACCGGCUAACUACGUG
This 468-nucleotide ribosomal RNA is filed under the name uncultured bacterium. Its description in RNAcentral is "partial 16S ribosomal RNA". It matches the Rfam family "Bacterial small subunit ribosomal RNA", at positions 28 to 507 of the family's 1533-position model. The record is from RNAcentral.